RNAcentral lists this ribosomal RNA (315 nucleotides) under uncultured eukaryote. RNAcentral describes it as "partial 18S ribosomal RNA". It matches the Rfam family "Eukaryotic small subunit ribosomal RNA", at positions 1470 to 1796 of the family's 1831-position model. The record is from RNAcentral.
CCCUUAGAUGUCCUGGGCCGCACGCGUGCUACACUGACACUUACACCGAGUUUUUCCGGCCCCGAGAGGUGGCUGGUAAUCAGUAAUAGGUGUCGUGAUGGGGAUAGAUCUUUGGAAUUAUUGAUCUUGAACGAGGAAUGCCUAGUAAUCGUAGGUCAUCAGCCUGCGAUGAUUACGUCCCUGCCCUUUGUACACACCGCCCGUCGCUCCUACCGAUUUCGAGUGGUCCGGUGAACCUUUCGGACAGAGAGAGUCUCGUACAAUCUCUGAAAGUCAAGUAAACCACAUCACUUAGAGGAAGGAGAAGUCGUAACA